AGGUAUAAAAUAAAUAGUUAAAAUCGAACAACAUUCUAAAAAUGGAUGAUCGGAUCCUUCAAUUUAAGAUUGGAGUUAUUGAUCUUUAUUUAGGUAGUGAAUAGAAUUUUCUAUCAAAAAUUCAACUUAUUCUGAUUCUUUUUCACCGUUAAACUAGCAAAUAUCUCAUAUCGGCCGUUAAAAAUUGUCAAUUUUGUGAGCUUUUGAUCGUAAGAUAAAUGAUAUCGAAAAAUUAUAAAAUUUGAUUUCUAGAAGUUUUAAAUACUUUAGAUAAUGUUUAACGGUAUGGAUCGUCGAUUCGAAAACUCUAUCAUCGAAAAUAACUUAUGAGUACGAAGGCGAUCGUACUCAUAAGAGUAUAGUAUCCGGACUAUAU
RNAcentral lists this long non-coding RNA (376 nucleotides) under Ananas comosus (pineapple). RNAcentral describes it as "long non-coding RNA (ACOM_LNC016327)". Lineage: Eukaryota; Viridiplantae; Streptophyta; Magnoliopsida; Poales; Bromeliaceae. The record is from RNAcentral.